GAGACGGAGACCAGCGGCGACGACGUGCGCACUGGGAGCGACCGCCGAGCAACCUCACAGGGCGACUGGGGCUAAUAAAUGUUCUGUGGGCGGAGUCCUGCAGCCGCUCAGAUUGCGGUCGCCCCUCCCGCGCACCAGGUGCACCUGCGGACUUGACCCAACCGGCGAGGAAGCUGAUUGAAGACGGUACUCUGGUGGCUCCGCGAGGAGAGACUUUGGUACUUUGGGGGCUCUGAUUCAGGAUUGUGGUCUCCGCUCCCUUAGAUGUGGAUAACAAACGAGCCUAGCGUGAAGGGGACAGCUUCUGCUCCAUUUUUUCUGUUGUGAGAAUACUGCCCCAAUAUUGGCAGGUCUUUUUUUUUUUUUUAAGGUAAUCAGAAAAAUCGAUUUUUAAAUGUAAAAUCUCCAGAUAUUUAGACGUUGGCAAGUAGAUGUUUUUAAACUGUAUGUGCUGAUUAAACUAUACAGAUGGUUUAAUCUGACUUAAGGGAAAGAGGGAAGAGAAGUUCCGGUGUCAGAUACUAGGCACUCCGGCAUUUAGAGAGAGGGUAAAUGGAGAUGGAGAGGGAGCAGCCACGAAGGCAGAAGGAAAUCCACAGUGUUGAGUUGUGAAAUUUAAGGGCAGAGAAGGUUUCAGGUAGGAGGGGUAUGGUCAGUUGUGUCUAGUGCUGCUGAGAGGUAUACUUGGGCUACAGAUAUGGUUUGGAUUGGUCACCUUGGAGAUCACUAAGAGUAUCACUGGUGGCUUUGGCUUGAUUUGUGUUGGUAAAUCAGAAAUCUGGACAUGACUACAGUGCGUUGAAGAGUGAAUGGGGAAGGUGAGAAAAUAGAGACUGCACAUGUAGACAAUGUGAGAGGUUUUCUGUGAAGGGAGCAAAGAAAUGUAGGCAUGACUAGAAGAAUAUGGGGUCAAGAGAUGUUUUAAAAGAUGGUAGGGUUAUAGAGCAUGUUUUUAUGCCAUCGGGAGGAAUACAGUAGAGAGAAGGCUUACUUGACAUACAUAGGAGUAGAAUCCAUGGAAGUAUAUAUGGAAACUAGGAGGAUUGACCUUGUGUAGGAACAGGAUGCUUCCACUGUGAUAAUCAGGGUAACUAAGGUGAAGAUGAUGCAAAUUCAGGGAAAACGAAAAGCAAACUUCCAACUUUCCUAGUAGGACUGCCUUGACAGCAUUGGGUACCCAUUUGAAGUUUAUGAUCAUGAGUGUAAAGUUAAACCAGUUGUCCCAGUGUGUGGUUUUUCUCCAGCAACAUUCAACUGCUUGGGUACAAACAUUAAGAGGGAUAAUUUGGGAUAACCAGGACCCAAAUUAUCUGAUUCUUCAUCUUAGGCACUUGCUUUAUUGAUUAGUUACUGUUGUAGAAAUAUGUGAAAUAUUGUGAAAAUUUACAUGUGACCCCUUUUCUAGGAACUAAAUAAUCCUAAUUGUCUCAUAUA
Phyllostomus discolor (pale spear-nosed bat) is the source of this 1434-nucleotide long non-coding RNA. RefSeq lists it as uncharacterized. Lineage: Eukaryota; Metazoa; Chordata; Mammalia; Chiroptera; Phyllostomidae. The record is from RefSeq and is a predicted model, not a curated record. The transcript is spliced from 2 exons.